This 442-nucleotide ribosomal RNA is filed under the name uncultured bacterium. Its description in RNAcentral is "partial 16S ribosomal RNA". It matches the Rfam family "Bacterial small subunit ribosomal RNA", at positions 338 to 795 of the family's 1533-position model. The record is from RNAcentral.
CCUACGGGAGGCUGCAGUAGGGAAUUUUUCACAAUGGGCGAAAGCCUGAUGGAGCAACGCCGCGUGCAGGAUGAAGGCCUUCGGGUUGUAAACUGCUUUUAUAAGCGAGAAAUAUGAUGGUAACUUAUGAAUACUGAUCGGCUCACUACGUGCCAGCAGCCGCGGUCAUACGUAGGAUCCGAGCAUUAUCCGGAGUGACUGGGUGUAAAGAGUUGCGUAGGUGGCAUAAUAAGUAGCUAGUGAAAUCGGGUGGCUCAACCAUUCAGACUAUUAGCUAAACUGUUAAGCUCGAGACCGUUAGGGGUAACUGGAAUUUCUAGUGUAGGAGUGAAAUCCGUAGAUAUUAGAAAGAACACCGAUAGCGUAGGCAGGUUACUGGGACGGUUCUGACACUAAGGCACGAAAGCGUAGGGAGCAAACGGGAUUAGAUACCCCUGUAGUC